This 66-nucleotide transfer RNA is filed under the name Coptotriche turpinia. RNAcentral's name for it is "tRNA-Cys". The record is from RNAcentral. Lineage: Eukaryota; Metazoa; Arthropoda; Insecta; Lepidoptera; Tischeriidae.
AGUCUUAUAUUCAUGAUUAUGAUAUUAAAUUGCAAAUUUAAAGGAGUAAAUAUUUUACUAAGGCUU